This 1540-nucleotide ribosomal RNA is filed under the name Salmonella enterica. RNAcentral describes it as "16S ribosomal RNA". It matches the Rfam family "Bacterial small subunit ribosomal RNA". RNAcentral also lists the same sequence under 1 other name. The record is from RNAcentral. Lineage: Bacteria; Pseudomonadati; Pseudomonadota; Gammaproteobacteria; Enterobacterales; Enterobacteriaceae.
AAAUUGAAGAGUUUGAUCAUGGCUCAGAUUGAACGCUGGCGGCAGGCCUAACACAUGCAAGUCGAACGGUAGCACAGAGAGCUUGCUCUCGGGUGACGAGUGGCGGACGGGUGAGUAAUGUCUGGGAAACUGCCUGAUGGAGGGGGAUAACUACUGGAAACGGUGGCUAAUACCGCAUAACGUCGCAAGACCAAAGAGGGGGACCUUCGGGCCUCUUGCCAUCAGAUGUGCCCAGAUGGGAUUAGCUAGUUGGUGAGGUAACGGCUCACCAAGGCGACGAUCCCUAGCUGGUCUGAGAGGAUGACCAGCCACACUGGAACUGAGACACGGUCCAGACUCCUACGGGAGGCAGCAGUGGGGAAUAUUGCACAAUGGGCGCAAGCCUGAUGCAGCCAUGCCGCGUGUAUGAAGAAGGCCUUCGGGUUGUAAAGUACUUUCAGCGGGGAGGAAGGUGUUGUGGUUAAUAACCUCAGCAAUUGACGUUACCCGCAGAAGAAGCACCGGCUAACUCCGUGCCAGCAGCCGCGGUAAUACGGAGGGUGCAAGCGUUAAUCGGAAUUACUGGGCGUAAAGCGCACGCAGGCGGUCUGUCAAGUCGGAUGUGAAAUCCCCGGGCUCAACCUGGGAACUGCAUUCGAAACUGGCAGGCUUGAGUCUUGUAGAGGGGGGUAGAAUUCCAGGUGUAGCGGUGAAAUGCGUAGAGAUCUGGAGGAAUACCGGUGGCGAAGGCGGCCCCCUGGACAAAGACUGACGCUCAGGUGCGAAAGCGUGGGGAGCAAACAGGAUUAGAUACCCUGGUAGUCCACGCCGUAAACGAUGUCUACUUGGAGGUUGUGCCCUUGAGGCGUGGCUUCCGGAGCUAACGCGUUAAGUAGACCGCCUGGGGAGUACGGCCGCAAGGUUAAAACUCAAAUGAAUUGACGGGGGCCCGCACAAGCGGUGGAGCAUGUGGUUUAAUUCGAUGCAACGCGAAGAACCUUACCUGGUCUUGACAUCCACGGAAGUUUUCAGAGAUGAGAAUGUGCCUUCGGGAACCGUGAGACAGGUGCUGCAUGGCUGUCGUCAGCUCGUGUUGUGAAAUGUUGGGUUAAGUCCCGCAACGAGCGCAACCCUUAUCCUUUGUUGCCAGCGGUCCGGCCGGGAACUCAAAGGAGACUGCCAGUGAUAAACUGGAGGAAGGUGGGGAUGACGUCAAGUCAUCAUGGCCCUUACGACCAGGGCUACACACGUGCUACAAUGGCGCAUACAAAGAGAAGCGACCUCGCGAGAGCAAGCGGACCUCAUAAAGUGCGUCGUAGUCCGGAUUGGAGUCUGCAACUCGACUCCAUGAAGUCGGAAUCGCUAGUAAUCGUGGAUCAGAAUGCCACGGUGAAUACGUUCCCGGGCCUUGUACACACCGCCCGUCACACCAUGGGAGUGGGUUGCAAAAGAAGUAGGUAGCUUAACCUUCGGGAGGGCGCUUACCACUUUGUGAUUCAUGACUGGGGUGAAGUCGUAACAAGGUAACCGUAGGGGAACCUGCGGUUGGAUCACCUCCUUA